ACGGGUGAGUAACACGUGAGCAACCUGCCCUGGACUCUGGGAUAAGCGCUGGAAACGGCGUCUAAUACUGGAUAUGAGCUCCUAUCGCAUGGUGGGGGUUGGAAAGAUUUUUUGGUCUGGGAUGGGCUCGCGGCCUAUCAGCUUGUUGGUGAGGUAAUGGCUCACCAAGGCGUCGACGGGUAGCCGGCCUGAGAGGGUGACCGGCCACACUGGGACUGAGACACGGCCCAGACUCCUACGGGAGGCAGCAGUGGGGAAUAUUGCACAAUGGGCGAAAGCCUGAUGCAGCAACGCCGCGCGAGGGAUGACGGCCUUCGGGUUGUAAACCUCUUUUAGCAGGGAAGAAGCGAAAGUGACGGUACCUGCAGAAAAAGCGCCGGCUAACUACGUGCCAGCAGCCGCGGUAAUACGUAGGGCGCAAGCGUUAUCCGGAAUUAUUGGGCGUAAAGAGCUCGUAGGCGGUUUGUCGCGUCUGCUGUGAAAUCCCGAGGCUCAACCUCGGGCCUGCAGUGGGUACGGGCAGACUAGAGUGCGGUAGGGGAGAUUGGAAUUCCUGGUGUAGCGGUGGAAUGCGCAGA
This 578-nucleotide ribosomal RNA is filed under the name uncultured bacterium. RNAcentral's name for it is "bacterial SSU rRNA". It matches the Rfam family "Bacterial small subunit ribosomal RNA", at positions 102 to 694 of the family's 1533-position model. The record is from RNAcentral.